UUGGGCGUAAGCGCACGCAGGCGGUCGACCAAGUUUGAGGUGACGGCUCCUCGCUUAACGAGGAGAGUGCCGCAAAGACUGGCCGACUUGAGAGCGAGAGAGGGACAUGGAACUCCAGGUGAAGCGGUGAAAUGCGUAGAGAUCUGGAAGAACACCAAAGGCGAAGGCAGUGUCCUGGCUCGUAUCUGACGCUGAUGUGCGAAAGCUAGGGGAGCGAACGGGAUUAGAUACCCCGGUAGUCCUAGCCGUAAACAAUGACCACUAGGUGUGCGGGGUUCGACCCCCUGCGUACCGUAGUCAACACAAUAAGUGGUCCGCCUGGGGAGUACGGUCGCAAGACUAAAACUCAAAGGAAUUGACGGGGACCCGCACAAGCAGCGGAGCGUGUGGUUUAAUUCGAUGCAACACGAAGAACCUUACCAGGGCUUGACAUGGGCAUGAUAACAGCAGAAAUGUUGUUCCCUUCGGGGCAUGUCCACAGGUGCUGCAUGGCUGUCGUCAGCUCGUGCCGUGAGGUGUUGGGUUAAGUCCCGCAACGAGCGCAACCCUUAUCGUCAGUUAGAAAUGUCUGACGAGACUGCCACGAUAAAGGUGGAGGAAGGUGGGGAUGACGUCAAGUCAGCACGGC
RNAcentral lists this ribosomal RNA (628 nucleotides) under uncultured bacterium. Its description in RNAcentral is "bacterial SSU rRNA". It matches the Rfam family "Bacterial small subunit ribosomal RNA", at positions 554 to 1199 of the family's 1533-position model. The record is from RNAcentral.